Molecule: ribosomal RNA, 305 nt
Filed under: uncultured bacterium
Lineage: Bacteria
Description: bacterial SSU rRNA
Rfam family: Bacterial small subunit ribosomal RNA
Source: RNAcentral
CUAUCCUACGGGGGGCAGCAGUGGGGAAUAUUGCACAAUGGGGGGAACCCUGAUGCAGCGACGCCGCGUGGGUGAAGGAGUAUUUCGGUAUGUAAAGCCCUCUCAGCAGGGAAGAACAAUGACGGUACCUGACUAAGAAGCACCGGCUAAAUACGUGCCAGCAGCCGCGGUAAUACGUAUGGUGCAAGCGUUAUCCGGAUUUACUGGGUGUAAAGGGAGCGUAGACGGCAGCGCAAGUCUGGAGUGAAAUGCCGGGGCUCAACCCCGGAACUGCUUUGGAAACUGUGCAGCUAGAGUGCGGGAGG